GGUGGUAGCUAACUUAGUCCCCAUCAUUUUAUAUGUAUAGGGAUUAUUUUCUAGCGUGCAUUACUUUACCUUUAUCAAUAUUAAAAUUCAUCUGCCAUUUUGUUGCCUAGUCAUGUAGUUUCUUGAGAUCCUUUUGAAGCUCUUCACAGUGUGCUUUGGACUGCUUUGGUUCCAGUACCUGUGGGACACUACUAGUCACUUCUCUCCAUUUUGAAAAUCGACCAUUUAUUUUUACCCUUUUUUCCCUAUCUUUUAACCAGUUAUCAGUCUAGGAGAAGACCUUCCCUCUUAUCCCAUGGGAGCUAACUUUGUCAAAGGGUCUUUGGUGAGGAACCUUGUCAAAGGCUUUCUGGAAAUCUACGUACACUGUAUCUACUGGAUCCCCCUUGUCCAUAUGCAAACGUGCAGUGAAAUGUGAACACGCUGCAUUGUACAUUACUUAUGGAUUUGGGAUCAGGUUCAUAUUAAAGAACCUAACUAAAGAGUCAGGCUUUACACAAAUCCUUAGUCUGCUGAAGCUGAUAGUACUUACCUGGGAAAACCUCAAGCCUUGUUCAUUUCAGAAUUAAACCUCUGGUUCAAGUUUGGUUAUUUAUAGCUGUGUCUGUGGUGCUCACGACUGGCUUUUGAGGGCCUCACCACACUUAAAUAUCACAGCCAUUACCUGUAGAAGGCAAAGCUCUCUACGCCUUCCUUUUGCUAGGCUGCUAGAGAGGUAGGGGCUGCUUAUUGGUUGCUACUCCAUCAAGAGUAUUGCACUUCUGGCUGUGUGGAUGAAGAUGGAGAUUCUCUCUUCUACACUUGCUUUCCCCCUGACUAAUGACUGAGGAGUCUUUAUUUCUCUUGUGUAGCUGGACUAGCACCUGGAACUAUGAGUGGCUCAAGGAAAGCGUCCAUAGUGGCUUUGGAUUCCAGAUUUCUUCUGAAUCGUCUGUAUUUGGUUUCCAGAAUCUUGCUCUACAUUUUCCUGUGUUGCUGGCAAGGUUUCCGCUAGGAGUUCCCAUCCAUGUGUGUAAUAAUUUUUAUGUGCACUGAGGCAUAAAUGAAUGUGCACCAGCAACAGAAACAAAACCUCGCUGUGGGCACUUUGUUAAUCAGCGGGGUGGCAUUGGAAUCUCUCCUGCACAAGCGCCUAGCGGACAAGGAACCCGGGUUGUUGGUAAUAACAAGGGGUCCUAGAAAUCCAUUUGCCAUGGAAAUAUACAGAAUUUGCAUUUUUACCAAGACUGUUUAGUUUUUACAUUUAGUGAAAAAAUAAAAACAGGCGGGAGAACCCUGUUUAUUUGAGCCUUUGUUAUUGGCUCUGUGUUAACUGAAUCAUGCCCUGAGCCCUUGUUGUGUGAGCCAGCCACCCUGACAGCCGGUGGUUUGGCUAAUACGGAGAGCUGGGUUCUGGAGGCUCAGGUAAACGGGGUCCAUUCUGGAUUCGUAUGUUUUCUAAUUGGAGAGUUUUGGACUUUUUAUCAUGAGAAACUAGAAUCCAGGGUAAGAAUAGGGACCAUCAAUAGAGACCGACUCUUCCUUUCUAUCACGCUGUUACAUGGGGUACGAGAGCCUUCCUAGUGGCACCCUGGAGGCAAAUUACCUGGCUGCUAUUGUCAUAAGUCUCAAACUCUGCUACCGAUGCUCCUGGGGAGGGGGCUCUUGAUAUCAAGACAGCUUGCAUGUGUCACAUUUAGUAUUGCAAAUGAGUUGGUUGUCUUAGUCCAGCUCUUAGCAGAGAUGUUCCUGAUACAGAUCAUCCUGCUACCCAGAAGGGACAGUCCCUGUUUUUUAGGAACAGAGUUACCAUUUACCUGUGUGUUCCUGGUGGGGAAGCUGAAGACAGGACAAGCUGUGGAGACUUGGGCGUAGUCAAUACCUCCAGCACAGGGUGAGGCCAAGGUGGAAGGGUGGCAUAUAGUGCCCAUUCUGCGCUUGUUCUCUCUCCUGUGCUUAACUGCAUAGUGCUUGUCACAAGCCUCCCGACUGAGGGCAAUGUCAUCCCUGCUUCACAGUGAAGGGCUAAGGUGGAUUUUCAAGCCCACCUAAGGGACUUAGACCUCAGCUCCCAUUAACACGCCAAGGGAUUUAUGCUUUUGAAAACUCCCCCCUUUCUGGGAGUCCAUGAAGGAGCAGGGAAUUGAGCCCAGCCUCAGUCAGGAUCACCCUUUGGGUCUGCAGUCGCAGGCUCUGAACUCAGCACCCUUUAAAAAAGGAAAUUAUGGCAGACUGUAGGAGAGACAUUGAAGUCAUGCUCCCAGGUUAAAAAUCAUAUUUUUAAAUCAGUCUCGUCCUAACUCACCUUAAAUUCUUGACAUGAAAAGAAGCUUUUGUGUUUAUGUUGUCUGUGUAGAUAGAGUGAAAUCAAAGUUUACUUUUCACAGUUCUCCCAAAUUGGCUACCAAAACAGUUAGUCUUUCUUUUGCUGGUAUUCAUAUUGAUUUUGGAGAUUUUUAAGGUUGCAAACGCUGGAGGGGAAAGUUUUAUCUAAAAAAAUCAUCCAUUAGAAUAAAAAACUUGUCCUAGAUUUGGUAGUGUCCUAGAUUUGUCUGUGCUCUGAAAUCAAAAUUUUGUAGGUAAAUUAGAGUGGCCAGUGUCUCUUGACACCGAAAUCCGGGAUUCCAUGCUGUGAUGUGACUUCCAACAUUGGAAUCUCUCUGCAAAAGGACCUGCCCACACUGUGAAGUGGGGGAAUUGUAUUGACACAUGCGUCUUUCAUUUAGUGUAGGGUCAAUACAUGCUUUUGCUAGCUUUCCUUACUCUGACACUGUGGACAUGUGUAGAGCUUGACUGCUUAUUAGGAAUUUUCAGUGUGGGUUAGGGAGCAUGCGAUAUAUCCCUUGGGAUAGGUGAAACUGGCCUUCAGACCUCCUGUGACCUGGCUUCGAAGGCGAGCAUGACCUUUGACCUAAAUGUCUGAAGUAAAUCUCCAUCUGACUUUGAUAAUCAAGAAUGCUUUCCUAUGACAAAAACACAAAUCCUUUGACUUGUUGGCAAUGGACUCAGCCAGCCCUCCUCGAACAGGGAUGCAAACAAAGAUCAGCAACUAGGACUUGCAUUGCAUAGCAGUUCCAAGAAAAAUAUUUCCUGCCUUCAUGUCCAAUUCAUCUUACUAAUUGCACAGAAUUGCCACAUGCAAUCCAAACUGCACAUGCCAUAUUGGAGAUUGUGUUACCCUCAUCGCCAGGUUAAUGUUACAUUCCCAUGUGUUUCUUUAAUCAUUUUCAGGUGUCUCUCUUUGUUAGAGAGCAAGAACAACCCCUCACCUGGGACCUGCUGUACAGUGAGCACAGAGAUUGGCAUCUGCUGCUGCUGUACAUUUCAAGUUGCUCACUUAUUGGAGAAAGACUCUUCUGGUUUCAGAAGAUAUCUUCACGUAGCUAAGCCCGCGUCAGGACGGCGGCAGGCGAUAUAAUGCGGAAGCCAGGCCCUCAGAAAGCCAUAGACUGGAAAGAUGGUAGAAAGCACAAGUACAGUCGCCCAUCAGAGUCGCCUUCCCAGUACCAAGGUCACUUCACCUGGGAGAAAUACCUGAAAGAAACAUGCGCCGUCCCCGCGCCUGCCCACUGCUUCAAGCAGGUAAUCGGCCGGGGAACGGGCGGGAUCCC
Molecule: non-coding RNA, 3590 nt
Organism: Pelodiscus sinensis (Chinese soft-shelled turtle)
Lineage: Eukaryota; Metazoa; Chordata; Testudines; Trionychidae
Source: RefSeq, a predicted model, not a curated record